UGGGGAAUAUUGCACAAUGGGGGAAACCCUGAUGCAGCGACGCCGCGUGAAGGAAGAAGUAUCUCGGUAUGUAAACUUCUAUCAGCAGGGAAGAUAAUGACGGUACCUGACUAAGAAGCCCCGGCUAACUACGUGCCAGCAGCCGCGGUAAUACGUAGGGGGCAAGCGUUAUCCGGAUUCAUUGGGUUUAAAGGGUGCGCAGGCGGGUCUGUAAGCCCGUGGUGAAAGCCUGGUGCUCAACGCCAGAGGUGCCGCGGGAACUGCAGGUCUUGAGUCGUGACGAGGGCGGCGGAAUGCGAAGUGUAGCGGUGAAAUGCUUAGAUAGUUCGCAGAACGCCGAUUGCGAAGGCAGCCGCCCAGGGACGCACUGACGCUGAGGCACGAAGGCAUGGGGAUCGAACAGGAUUAGAUACCCUGGUAGU
RNAcentral lists this ribosomal RNA (422 nucleotides) under uncultured Coprococcus sp. Its description in RNAcentral is "bacterial SSU rRNA". It matches the Rfam family "Bacterial small subunit ribosomal RNA", at positions 355 to 794 of the family's 1533-position model. The record is from RNAcentral. Lineage: Bacteria; Bacillati; Bacillota; Clostridia; Lachnospirales; Lachnospiraceae.